GACGAACGCUGGCGGCGUGCUUAAUACAUGCAAGUCAACGACUUUUAGAGUAGCAAUAUUCUAAAGGAAGUGGCGCACGGGUGAGUAACACGUAGGGUAAUCUGCCUUCAGGACUGACACAACUCGUCGAAAGACGGGCUAAUAUCAGAUAAUGCAGCGGCUCCGCAUGGAGACAGUUGUUAAAGUACAAGCGCCUGAAGAUGAGCCUGCGGUCCAUUAGCUAGUUGGUAGAGUAAAGCCUACCAAGGCAACGAUGGAUAGCUGGUCUGAGAGGAUGAUCAGCCACACUGGAACUGAGACACGGUCCAGACUCCUACGGGAGGCAGCAGUAAGGAAUAUUGCUCAAUGGCCGAAAGGCUGAAGCAGCAACGCCG
Molecule: ribosomal RNA, 374 nt
Filed under: uncultured bacterium
Lineage: Bacteria
Description: bacterial SSU rRNA
Rfam family: Bacterial small subunit ribosomal RNA
Source: RNAcentral